This 150-nucleotide unclassified non-coding RNA is filed under the name soil metagenome. Its description in RNAcentral is "partial internal transcribed spacer 1". The record is from RNAcentral.
GCGAGUAUGGCCCUCACGGGUCUAUCCACCAUAAACACCUUUGUGAACCAGUCAGGGGGACUCGGCCGUGAAAGCCCAGGCGAUUAGCGGAAGGGCCCUCCUUUGCAAACCCGUUUAGAAGUCUUGAAAGUACUUUUGUAUAAUCUAGUA